This 72-nucleotide transfer RNA is filed under the name Exophiala oligosperma. Its description in RNAcentral is "tRNA-Sup (CTA) (tRNA-Sup-CTA-1-1)". It matches the Rfam family "tRNA". From Rfam's summary of the family: Transfer RNA (tRNA) molecules are approximately 80 nucleotides in length. Their secondary structure includes four short double-helical elements and three loops (D, anti-codon, and T loops). Further hydrogen bonds mediate the characteristic L-shaped molecular structure. tRNAs have two regions of fundamental functional importance: the anti-codon, which is responsible for specific mRNA codon recognition, and the 3' end, to which the tRNAs corresponding amino acid is attached (by aminoacyl-tRNA synthetases). tRNAs cope with the degeneracy of the genetic code in two manners: having more than one tRNA (with a specific anti-codon) for a particular amino acid; and 'wobble' base-pairing, i.e. permitting non-standard base-pairing at the 3rd anti-codon position. The record is from RNAcentral. Lineage: Eukaryota; Fungi; Ascomycota; Eurotiomycetes; Chaetothyriales; Herpotrichiellaceae.
GGGGACUUGGCGCAGUGGUAGCGUAUAUCCAACUAAAGGGUAAGGUCCUAGGUUCGAAUCCUAGAGUCCCCA